CCUACGGGUGGCUGCAGUGAGGAAUAUUGGUCAAUGGACGAGAGUCUGAACCAGCCAAGUAGCGUGAAGGAUGACUGCCCUAUGGGUUGUAAACUUCUUUUAUAUGGGAAUAAAACGUUCCACGUGUGGGAUUUUGUAUGUACCAUAUGAAUAAGGAUCGGCUAACUCCGUGCCAGCAGCCGCGGUAAUACGGAGGAUCCGAGCGUUAUCCGGAUUUAUUGGGUUUAAAGGGAGCGUAGGUGGAUUGUUAAGUCAGUUGUGAAAGUUUGCGGCUCAACCGUAAAAUUGCAGUUGAAACUGGCAGUCUUGAGUACAGUAGAGGUGGGCGGAAUUCGUGGUGUAGCGGUGAAAUGCUGAGAUAUCACGAAGAACUCCGAUUGCGAAGGCAGUUCACUGGACUGCAACUGACACUGAGGCUCGAAAGUGUGGGUAUCAAACAGGAUUAGAGACCCCAGUAGUC
Molecule: ribosomal RNA, 460 nt
Filed under: uncultured bacterium
Lineage: Bacteria
Description: partial 16S ribosomal RNA
Rfam family: Bacterial small subunit ribosomal RNA
Source: RNAcentral